CGAACGCUGGCGGCGUGCCUAAUACAUGCAAGUCGAGCGGACUGAUUAAGAGCUUGCUCUUCUGACGUUAGCGGCGGACGGGUGAGUAACACGUGGGCAACCUGCCCUGUAGAUCGGGAUAACACCGAGAAAUCGGUGCUAAUACCGGGUAAUAUCUGAGAUCACAUGAUCUUAGGUUAAAAGAUGGCUCCGGCUAUCACUACAGGAUGGGCCCGCGGCGCAUUAGCUAGUUGGUAAGGUAAUGGCUUACCAAGGCGACGAUGCGUAGCCGACCUGAGAGGGUGAUCGGCCACACUGGGACUGAGACACGGCCCAGACUCCUACGGGAGGCAGCAGUAGGGAAUCUUCCGCAAUGGACGAAAGUCUGACGGAGCAACGCCGCGUGAGUGAUGAAGGGUUUCGGCUCGUAAAGCUCUGUUGUUAGGGAAGAAACAGUACCGAACGAACUAGGUCGGUACCUUGACGGUACCUAACCAGAAAGCCACGGCUAACUACGUG
RNAcentral lists this ribosomal RNA (498 nucleotides) under uncultured bacterium. RNAcentral's name for it is "partial 16S ribosomal RNA". It matches the Rfam family "Bacterial small subunit ribosomal RNA", at positions 30 to 507 of the family's 1533-position model. The record is from RNAcentral.